This 301-nucleotide ribosomal RNA is filed under the name uncultured bacterium. RNAcentral describes it as "partial 16S ribosomal RNA". It matches the Rfam family "Bacterial small subunit ribosomal RNA", at positions 509 to 809 of the family's 1533-position model. The record is from RNAcentral.
CAGUAGCCGCGGUAAUACGUAGGGUCCGAGCGUUGUCCGGAAUUACUGGGCGUAAAGAGCUCGUAGGUGGUUUGUCGCGUUGUUCGUGAAAACUCACAGCUCAACUGUGGGCGUGCGGGCGAUACGGGCAGACUAGAGUACUGCAGGGGAGACUGGAAUUCCUGGUGUAGCGGUGGAAUGCGCAGAUAUCAGGAGGAACACCGGUGGCGAAGGCGGGUCUCUGGGCAGUAACUGACGCUGAGGAGCGAAAGCGUGGGGAGCGAACAGGAUUAGAUACCCCCGUAGUCCCUGUCCCUUAUAA